Molecule: unclassified non-coding RNA, 338 nt
Filed under: soil metagenome
Description: partial contains 5.8S ribosomal RNA, internal transcribed spacer 2, and large subunit ribosomal RNA
Rfam family: 5.8S ribosomal RNA (bases 1-120)
Source: RNAcentral
GAUGAAGAACGUAGCGAAAUGCGAUACGUAGUGUGAAUUGCAGAAUUCAGUGAAUCAUCGAAUCUUUGAACGCACAUUGCACCUCUCGGUAUUCCGGGAGGUAUGCCUGUUCGAGCGUCAUUUGUACACUCAAGCUCUGCUUGGUGUUGGGUGUUUGUUCCGCCUCUGUGUGUGAACUCGCCUCAAAACAAUUGGCAGCCGGCGUACUUGUUUCGGAGCGCAGCACAUUUUGCGAUCCAGAUCAACGUACAGCGGCAUCCAAGAAGCCUUAUUUAACGCUCUUGACCUCGGAUCAGGUAGGGAUACCCGCUGAACUUAAGCAUAUCAAUAGCGGAGGA